CCUACGGGAGGCAGCAGUGAGGAAUAUUGGUCAAUGGACGAGAGUCUGAACCAGCCAAGUAGCGUGAAGGAUGACUGCCCUAUGGGUUGUAAACUUCUUUUAUAUGGGAAUAAAACGUUCCACGUGUGGGAUUUUGUAUGUACCAUAUGAAUAAGGAUCGGCUAACUCCGUGCCAGCAGCCGCGGUAAUACGGAGGAUCCGAGCGUUAUCCGGAUUUAUUGGGUUUAAAGGGAGCGUAGGUGGAUUGUUAAGUCAGUUGUGAAAGUUUGCGGCGCAACCGUAAAAUUGCAGUUGAAACUGGCAGUCUUGAGUACAGUAGAGGUGGGCGGAAUUCGUGGUGUAGCGGUGAAAUUCUUAGAUAUCACGAAGAACUCCGAUUGCGAAGGCAGUUCACUGGACUGCAACUGACACUGAGGCUCGAAAGUGUGGGUAUCAAACAGGAUUAGAUACCCUAGUAGUC
RNAcentral lists this ribosomal RNA (460 nucleotides) under uncultured bacterium. RNAcentral describes it as "partial 16S ribosomal RNA". It matches the Rfam family "Bacterial small subunit ribosomal RNA", at positions 338 to 795 of the family's 1533-position model. The record is from RNAcentral.